Rattus norvegicus (Norway rat) is the source of this 6396-nucleotide non-coding RNA. The record is from RefSeq and is a predicted model, not a curated record. Lineage: Eukaryota; Metazoa; Chordata; Mammalia; Rodentia; Muridae.
UUCUGGGGAGCAGGGGUGGGUGUUUAAAAUGGAAUAAUACAGUCAUUAGCCUGGUUUCCCUUUAAAGAUAUUUUAAAAAUAAUUUUUUUUUCAUUUAUGUGUCUGUGUAGGUAUGUACCAUACAGGUUCACACAGAAGCCAAAAGAGACCACGAGAUCCCAUGAAACUGAAAUAUGCCAUUCCUGUGUGUGCUGAAUCCUUUGCAAGAGCAGGAUGUACUCUUAAAUGCCUAGGGGAUGAGUGGUGAAAAUCUCAUUUUGUGAACUCGAUGUAGGCAUUGUUGGUCUAGAAAAUUCACCAUGGACAAUAUCUAGAGACUACAUCUGUGUGUUUGCAAAACUUGAUACCCACUAUGCUAUAGGUUUUAUUUUUUUUAAUUUUGAGAAAUACCUUUAUUACAUUAUGUCAUUCACUUUUACAGAGAUAACAAGAGGUGGGAUAAUUGUUCCCAUUUUGUGGCAGAGGAAAUGGAGGCCCAGGGUGGUUCAGAUAAAUGAAAAUAAGUGGAUAAAAGAUAAGUAAUUAGAUGUAUGAGUCACAUAUUGAAUGAGUAUUACAGUUAGUCAGAGAUUUCCCCAGUCCUCACAUUUCACUGUUUGCUAAGUGUCUUUCAGGGUUUCCUUUGAACUAGACACUUUACAUGAUACUCAAGAAGUAUUAAUAAGGCAAAAUCUUCAAUCUCAUGAAACACAGAGUAGUUGAAAAACAGACCACCUCUUAGCAGAAUUCUACCUGCUAAAAUUAAAGCAAAUUCCAAGAGUGUAUAGGAGCCAUGGGAAAUGCUGCCUCUGUGUGAGUCAUAAUUUAAAUUAGUAAACAGGGCUGCUUGAGGUACAGUCAAAUCGUGUCAGUGCAGGGGUUGGUAAUUAUUUCCCUUUGUGCAAUGGGAAAUCUAUGCCUGGGUGCCAGUCUUGGUUAAAAAGUACCAGGUACUACCUGUUUACUCCCUUCCUUUCCACAGAGGACAAUCAUAUGUUUGGUAUUGUACCAUCUUCAACCUCAAGGCUAAAGGUAGAUAUUGUUAGGAGUAGAGGCUCAUGGAUGAUGAACCAUGAGCUAUCUUUGGAAGAUAAUAAAGCACUAACAAAAUGAAUGAAAGGAUAUGAGCAGAUGGAAGGAAGAACAUAGGUGAAUCCCAGGGGUUAGGAACUGUGUGGUGCUUCCAAGAUCCAAUCAGGGCAGUUGGUCUUUGUUGAAGAGUGGCAAGGGAGCCAGAGAAUGGAUUAAAUGAGGUAAGCAAAUUUCAGUGUAAGUACGAGAAUAAACCUAUCACUUCCUCUCCAAACUUGGGUACAAUGCUAGGCAUGGGAUCUGUACUCAAUAGCAUCUAUUGUAUAAUAUAGAAAGGGAUCAUAAACCAUAUUAACUGCUCUUCUUACUCUCACAUAUAUUAGCCAGUCAUCAAAAUGUCCUUUUUGAUACCAUUCCAACAGAAAAAACUAUAAUCCAACUAUUAAUGCAUUUGUGACGCCCACUGCCUUAUAGAGAUAUACAGUACUUACAGCACUGUGUGGUGAUUGGAGGUUAGAAGAGUCAGGGGCAGAAAAAAGACUCUGGCUAGGUUGUAGGUUGUACAGGACUAUAGCAAAGUACAAAAAAUAAACAGCUUCCUCUGACACAAACUUCUUGUCCAAACUUGAGGAAUUCCUUUGACUAUGUGAAUGAACAAGAAUAUAUAUACCAUUAGCAUCUAAUAAGGUAGUGAUGUCCUCUCUCUAGGCUGCUGCAGCUAGAACAUACUGCAUUUAAGCACCCAGUUGAGAACUGUUAGCCCAGGAGUGGUAGGAACCCAUGUAACUAUUUAUCCACCAUGGUAGACAUGAUGAAUGGAGACAAGAGUUCCAGGGACUGAGAACAGUGGAAGUUAAAUAACCCUAGCCUAAAGAGUCCAAGGGAACUUUGGAGCCAGAGAAGGCUUGGUGUGACUGAAGAAGCUUUAAAAUGUGGGAACCAGCAUCUCUGUCAAACAAUUUUCUGAUAUAGUUUUUACUCCCAGAAAAAUCUGAGGAUUGUGAUUUGAUAACUGAAAAAUUGUAAACCAUAAAGGGACUUGUUUAUCCUGUGAGUUUGAAAGACUUACAUAUCAGGUAUUGAUGACAUGUAGACUUGUAGCAGAAAAACAAAGAGUGUUUAUGACUGUAUGAGGCAAAAUCAAGCAUUUCUCCUUAACCUCAGGAAUCAAGCUAUGUCAAGUAGCACAGAAAUGUGUGAACCAAACAACAUUCCAUUAUUAUAAUUUGAUAAUUAUAUGGACGUUGUUUAAACUGUGCUUUUAUAACAGUCACGUGAUAGUUUCUGUUCUGUUGCUGUCUUAAAAACCAUGCACAAGGCAACUUAUGAAAGAAAGCACUUAAUUAGAGGCUUGCUUAAAGUUUCAGAGGAUUAAUCCAUGACCAUCAUCAUGGAGAAUAUGGUGGCAGAUAGGUAGGCAUGGUGCUGGAGUGGUAACUGAUAUCUUACAUAUUACCUGAAAUAUGGAUACAGAGUAAGAAAGAGGCAGAGAUACAGAGAUAGAUACACACACACACACACACACACACACACACACACACACACACAGAGAGAGAGAGAGAGAGAGAGAGAGAGAGAGAGAGAGAGAGAGAGAGCUGGUUUAGGCUUUUGAAACUUCAAAGCCUAACCUUAGUGAUACAACUUCUUUAAUGAGGUCACACCACCUAAUCAUUCCUAAACAGUCAACUAACUGGGAACCAAACAUUCAAAGUUUUUGAGUUAUGGGCCAUUCUCAAACCAUGACAUCUAGGCUUGUAGCAAGGAAACAAAAAGAGCUGAUAAAAUGUAAUGUACAGGGCAUAAUAAAUAUAUUUAACCUACUUUAACAAACUUUAGCUCCCAGGAAUCAGAUUUUGUCAAAUAUGGGUUUUUGUAUAUCUAUCAAACUAUAUUCCAUUACCAUAAUUCCACAACUACAUGGGCUGUCUUAAAAGGUUUUUGAUAGCAGUGAUUCAAAUGUAUCCACCCUCUUUUGUAAAAUUAAUAGUGAUGACUCAAAUAGUUUAAUGAGUCAAAGUACUUAUGAGCUUUAUUGAGGGUUUUAUUUGUUUUUAUUGUCAGUAGAUUCAUCCCAUGCCCUUUAUUCAUGAUGCAAUACAUUUUUUAUGAGCUGUUUAAAUACAAGUAAAUAAUUGUAUCCAGCUUCAGUAGUAACAAUUAUGUAAACAAGUUAGCACUAUGGUGAAAAGCAAUUAUGUAUCCAUGAUUCUAGAGGUAGACACUUGGCAGGUGUUUGCCACUUAUAAGGCAGCAGUGGUAAGAUACUUAUGGAUGAAUGGCAAGUUAGAUGUGCUCAGUAAUUAAACUCAAAAUUGUUUGUAAAAUCACACAUAGACCACUGUAGGCUACAUUUUCAAAUCAGUUCCUCACUUAAGAUGUAGGUCUACAUACUGGAAUAAUGGAUUCUAAUUUGCUAUAAUUUGAGAGCUUAUUAGAGUAUUUGUUUUUCUUUUGAAAUUAUUAUGUCAUUGUAUUUAUUUGUAAGAUUCAAGAUUGUACUUGAGUCAUGUACAUAUUAGAGUAAGUAGCAUUUCUUCACAUUAUCAACCAGAACAUCAUUUUAAUGACAUUCUAUCCCAUGGAUCCACCUGCCAGUUCUUCAGACUAAGUAAUUUAUAGAAUUUUAAGGCAAAGAAUGGAUAUCUUCUCAAGUUUAAGGAAUAUAUAUUUCUUUUCAGUUUUAUAAGAGCACACAGAACUCUUUUAUAAUGGGAAAUGCCUUAAACAGAAUUAGGAGAGCUGCAAAAUCUUUAGGGAAUCUGCUCUCUCAGUUUUUAAAUUGCUUUUCUCUUUAGGCUCACUCUAUAUUUCCCUCCAUGGACCAGUUUUAUUUGCAAGGCCCUCAUUUUUAAUUCUCUAUAAUACCAAAUUUGAAUUACCACUCUAGUGCCAAAAUCUAUCAGUGGCAUAUCAACCUUUGAAGGUUUUCUUCCCAGUAAAGGCUGGAAUAAAUUUUCAUGAGGAAUAAAUAUUGUCAAAGAAGAGGCAAAACUGGAGGCUCACCUUUUUACAAGUCAUCUAGUUUUGGCAGGUUUGAGAAGAAAUGUGGUGUGAACCAAAAAGCUUAUGGGCACUACUUUAAUAGGAAAAAACAAGAAGGCUAACACUCCAUGUAUGAAAGAAACUGAUCAAACCAGAUCAAUAUCACCAUAAUAACUGUCUUAUAUCUCAAAUACCAUUCACUCAAUCUAUUGAGUUUAUUAUUUAGGGUAAAUCAUACCUCACCAUUUUGGACAGUGAAAAGUCAAUCAUUUUAUGCUGUCCCAUGUUUUAAAGCAUAUUUAAAGUGGAUCGGUAUGGUGACAAUUCUGGGUUGUUAGCUUAACUUUGUCUUUAUUGAACUGCAAUCCAGAAAAGGAGGGCUCACUUGUGAAAGACUAUUUUUCAUUGGGUGAAUCCACUUCUAGUCCAGACCUUUGAGGUAGAAAGGCAUAUAUGCCUUUGAUCCAGAUCUUUAGGCAGGAAGACACAAAUUUAAUCUGGGCCACACCUUGGAAGAAAGAAGUUUUUGUUCCUUGCCUGCUUGUCCUUACCCUGUUAGAACAUCUAUUCCUUCAUUGUCACAGAAACCUACUUCUUCGAGAUUCCAGUAGACACUGAAAGAGCAGCUGAGAUGUGUAGCCUGAAUUCCUGCAGUUUCCAUUCCCAGCUAGCCAUUCGUGGACUAGCUGAACAUUAGUCUUUAAGCCAUUUCAACAAAUUUUAUAUCUAUCACCUAUCUAUCUUCUAUCUAUCUGUCUGUCUGUCUGUCUGUCUAUUUACCUACCUAUGCAUUUGACUAAUACAAUAGGGUAAAGUCUAAGAUCUUGAAUAAUUUAAGGAACUGUGAGCAUUAUGCAAACAUCUUGGUAUAUACCUUUGGAUGAAGCUGGAACUGCUACCUCAUUUUACAGAGUUCGGGGCUCAGGAAUAAAGAGAAACAGAGUUUCUUCUUUUACUCGAAUGUGCAUGUGUUUGACAAAAGGGACACAAAAUGUCUAUGAAAUGAAAAAAAAUGAGUGAAGAGAUCUAUGAUGAAGAUCACUUCAUGCAAAAAUGUUUAUGCAAUUGGUUCUGAGCUGAAAAGUUGAUGCUGUGGGUGCAUGAGCAUGUAGUUGCACAGACAUGAAUGUACUUUUAUCUUUAGGGCAUGACCACUAGACUGUAAAGAUAAAAAGAUUAAAAUGAUCUACUACUAUUUAUCAAUGUCAAGAGCACAGUUUUCCUUCUAUAAAUUAUGUAUUUUAUAAUAGACUAGGCCAUCUUAGUCUAAAACCCAUCAGACUCUUGAAACUUCAAUUUCACAUUAACUGUGAAGUUCCUUGUUUGAACUAUUUUAGUUCUCAUUGUAUACUCCAUUUAAAUAUGUAACUAUCUCUGAAACUUCUUAGCUUCACCUCUAUCUUGAGUCCUGAUUAUUAAGUGAGUAUCUAAUUUUCUAAGCUUCGAUAGGAAGUGUUGACUGAAAUGAAGACUUGUGUUUUUCUGUGGAUAUCUUAACUUCUGGGCUCAUUGACUAGCAACCUUGAUUCAUCUACUUCCAGGUUAUGGGAAACCUGUAGCUCUCUUUCAUACAUCUAGAAUAAGAACUGGAUAGUCUUACUUUGGAUCUAUAGUUGCCAGAGAAUUUUCAUGCUAUAAAUAUUUAGGAAUCCCUGUAUCUGAAUGUAGUCAGUAUACCUAUAGCAUAAGAAACAAUACUCACAGCUCUAAUCACAGUUACCCGUUAUACUUCUUUCCCCACCGCCUUCUAGAAUUCUCACCAUAUAUGUGUCAUAUGAAUACCCUGGACUACAGAGACAACAACAUAUAAUCUGGUGCUUCUUAUGCCUAUAAAGACUGGGACACAGUAAUUUUAACAGAGUCUGGCUCUUGCCCAGGAACUUCCAAAGGGAGUUCCUGCUCAAUAAACCUGUUCUCCUGGAGUGGAAAUACCUGUAUAUGCAUGUCUCUUGUGUUUUCAAAGCAGGGAACACUAUGAAGAGAAAAGACAAAUAGAAAAGAAGAAAGUUUUCAAUCUGCUACAACCUGUGACAUAAAACCAUAUAUGGUUACAAGAGCUGAUGACCGAGCCAGGGCCUUGCGCUUGCUAGUGGCGGCAUGAAUAAUGAGUGAAGCCAAAGCUUUGGUGAAAAUAUAAUCCUGGGAAGUACCAAAGCAACUGAAAGCAUUGGAAGUAAGCUGUAUGUUUUAGGAUAACUCUGGGUAAUUCUCAGCCAACAACUCAGGAAAGAGGUUCACAUCUGGUACUAGGAUUUUCAUUUCAUAACCUAUGGCUUCUCACAAAGCAUUAUCCAUCUAUGGCAAGUAUAUCUAUAGAUGUUUUUAUUAUUUGGCUAAGAAUUUUGUACAAUGUAUUUUGAUCAUAUCCUUCCUUCUUCCCAAUUCUUCCAACAUCUACUUCUA